CCGCAUGGGGGAAGAUUGAAAGGUGGCUUCGGCUAUCACUUACAGAUGGACCCGCGGCGCAUUAGCUAGUUGGUGAGGUAACGGCUCACCACGGCGACGAUGCGUAGCCGACCUGAGAGAGUGAUCGGCCACACUGGGACUGAGACACGGCCCAGACUCCUACGGGAGGCAGCAGUAGGGAAUCUUCCGCACUGGACGAAAGUCUGACGUAGCAACGCCGCGUGAGUGAAGAAGGUUUUCGGAUCGUAAAACUCUGUUGUUAGGGAAGAACAAGUGCCGUUCGAAUAGGUCGGCACCUUGACGGUACCUAACCAGAUAGCCACGGCUAACUUCGUGCCAGCAGCCGCGGUAAUACGUAGGUGGCAAGCGUUGUCUGGAAUUAUUGGGCGUAAAGCGCGCGCAGGUGGUUUCUUAAGUCUGAUGUGAAAGCCCACGGCUCAACCGUGGAGGGUCAUUGGAAACUGGGGAACUUGAGUGCAGAAGAGGAAAGUGGAAUUCCAAGUGUAGCGGUGAAAUGCGUAGAUAUUUGGAGGAACACCAGUGGCGAAGGCGACUUUCUGGUCUGUAACUGACACUGAGGCGCGAAAGCGUGGGGAGCAAACAGGAUUAGAUUCCCUGGUAGUCC
Molecule: ribosomal RNA, 625 nt
Filed under: Rossellomorea marisflavi
Lineage: Bacteria; Bacillati; Bacillota; Bacilli; Caryophanales; Bacillaceae
Description: bacterial SSU rRNA
Rfam family: Bacterial small subunit ribosomal RNA
Source: RNAcentral